RNAcentral lists this unclassified non-coding RNA (361 nucleotides) under Metschnikowia sp. CLIB 1742. RNAcentral's name for it is "sequence contains ITS1, 5.8S rRNA gene and ITS2". Lineage: Eukaryota; Fungi; Ascomycota; Pichiomycetes; Serinales; Metschnikowiaceae. The record is from RNAcentral.
CUCCGCUUAUUGAUAUGCUUAAGUUCAGCGGGUAGUCUUGCGUGGAUGAGGGACAAGAGGCCCUCGAGCGUAGCGGGAGGGGCCGUGUCUUUAGAACCAAAAUCAAGGAGAAGAGUUCCGCUCACCCACGCAUGCUGUUGCCAGCGCCAUGUGCGUUCAAAGAUUGAUGAUUCACGUCUGCAAGUUGUAAUACGUAUCGCAUUUCGCUGCGUUCUUCAUCGAUGCGAGAGCCAAGAGAUCCGUUGUUGAAAGUUUUAUUCCGAGCGUAGCGAGGAAUAUCACGCCAAGAUGGCAGUUUUUUAUCGUUUGUGCUAAAACACGGUGUCUUUGUGCUGUAAUGAUCCUUCCGCAGUCCACCUAC